GGGGUUGUGGCUCAGUGGUAGAGUACUCACCCAGCAUGUGAGAGGCACUGGGUUUGAUCCUCAGUACCACA
Molecule: transfer RNA, 71 nt
Filed under: Marmota monax (woodchuck)
Lineage: Eukaryota; Metazoa; Chordata; Mammalia; Rodentia; Sciuridae
Description: tRNA.Ala
Rfam family: tRNA
About the family: Transfer RNA (tRNA) molecules are approximately 80 nucleotides in length. Their secondary structure includes four short double-helical elements and three loops (D, anti-codon, and T loops). Further hydrogen bonds mediate the characteristic L-shaped molecular structure. tRNAs have two regions of fundamental functional importance: the anti-codon, which is responsible for specific mRNA codon recognition, and the 3' end, to which the tRNAs corresponding amino acid is attached (by aminoacyl-tRNA synthetases). tRNAs cope with the degeneracy of the genetic code in two manners: having more than one tRNA (with a specific anti-codon) for a particular amino acid; and 'wobble' base-pairing, i.e. permitting non-standard base-pairing at the 3rd anti-codon position.
Source: RNAcentral